Molecule: ribosomal RNA, 397 nt
Filed under: uncultured bacterium
Lineage: Bacteria
Description: bacterial SSU rRNA
Rfam family: Bacterial small subunit ribosomal RNA
Source: RNAcentral
GAUGAACGCUGGCGGCGUGCCUAAUACAUGCAAGUCGAACGAAGCGAUUUUUAUGAAGUUUUCGGAUGGAAUAGAGAUUGACUGAGUGGCGGACGGGUGAGUAACGCGUGGGUAACCUGCCUCACACUGGGGGACAACAGUUAGAAAUGACUGCUAAUACCGCAUAAGCGCACGGUACCGCAUGGUACAGUGUGAAAAACUCUGGUGGUGUGAGAUGGACCCGCGUCUGAUUAGAUAGUGGUGGGUAACGCCUACCAAGUCAACGAUCAGUAGCCGACCUGAGAGGGUGACCGGGCCACAUUGGGACUGAGACACGGCCCAAACUCCUACGGGAGGCAGCAGUGGGAAUAUUGCACAAUGGGGGAAACCCUGAUGCAGCGACGCCGCGUGAGUGAAG